Molecule: long non-coding RNA, 1147 nt
Organism: Balaenoptera ricei (Rice's whale)
Lineage: Eukaryota; Metazoa; Chordata; Mammalia; Artiodactyla; Balaenopteridae
Exons: 2
Source: RefSeq, a predicted model, not a curated record
AACAAGCAAAAACACAACCGCAAGUUAUGCCCGUGCUGUGCCUCUAGCGGCAAAGACAAGCGGUGUGGGGCUUUGGAUGCGUCUACACUUCUCGUCGGGGGAGAAAGGGGAAACGUCUGUUCAUCAAGGCAAACUUGUGAAUUGCUUCUUCUACGGAGUACUUAGUCUGCCCGGAAACACAUGCCUCGAUGUCUUCUGAAUUCAGAUGGCUUUGCAGGAAGAGGUGAAGGCUGCUAUCUGAAAGCAGAAGUGCAUUCUGUAGGACCCUACGUAAAAGAAAAAAGGAGACAUGACCAGUGGACGGGGAUGGACAAUUAUAGGGUGGGAAAGAGAAAAAACAUUAGAAAUGUGCCACUGAAGUAAUUUCUCUACUAUGGCAAACUUGGCAUCAAUUGUGACUCUUCCUAUUAAAGGGAUGAAAGCAUAUGUUAACUUUUAUUCGAUUAUUUGGAAAUUUAGGUGAGUAAAAACAUGAAACUAAUAGUUAAGAACAUCUGUUAAAAGAAUAACUUCAAGGACAUUUCUUCAGUUUAACCAUCUGUUGUGACCAUGUGGAUUAAUUAUGGAAAUAUUUUGCUUAGAUAGUCACAGAAAUUUAUUCUGCUUUUAAAAAAUUUACUGCCAACCAGCAUGCCAAUUCUGUGAUCUUUAUUGGCUAGGCUGUCAUGAAACAUCAAAACUUUCAACGACUAUUAAAAACUAUAUUGAAAAGUCAAUAGAUUUCUCAGCAUGUCUUACAUUUUCAAACUUUACGAGGAUGCUUAUAUACACGUUCACAAGGGCUCGCUGCGAGGUGGCUUUUUUGAAUACUUAAAAUUGACUGGAAAUUUCUAUAAAAUCUUCAGCAGCACUGCGUAUCUAUUUUAAAAUGAGUCCCUAAAUAAAAUUGCUCCCAGCCAAUUUUACCAUAUAUGUAAUUAAAGUAUGAUAAUUUUGUAAUAAGUACAUACUAGCCUUCCCACAUGCAAGAUCAAAGUUUACAAAGAGAGUACAAAUUUCAGCAGGUGCAUCAGAACUACAUGGAGAAUGAAAAACUGCCCUGUAGCAAAAUCUGCACGUGCUCAAAUUCAUAUUAGCAGUGAAUGUGUCUUUUUCUGAAAUGCAUUAUUUAUAUUUAAAUAAAAACUGGUUUUCUCUUUUUAGCAAA